This 527-nucleotide long non-coding RNA is filed under the name Brassica napus (rape). RNAcentral describes it as "long non-coding RNA (BNAP_LNC024594)". The record is from RNAcentral. Lineage: Eukaryota; Viridiplantae; Streptophyta; Magnoliopsida; Brassicales; Brassicaceae.
CUCGCUCCUAUAUUUUUUUUCCUUCAAUCUCUGUCAAAGAGUUGGUCUUCUGUUGCACAACGGUGUGAAGCGAUAUCUUCACGAGCUUGUUCUGGAUUCGGCUGGCCUCCUCGCAAUCGUUCUAUCUAGUGAUCUCUGCCGCCGGUUUGCAGGGUUUAGUUCCUGUUUCGGACUGGGAAUUGGAGGAGGUGGUGCUGCUGCUGUUGGUACUGAUUAUUCCAAUGUGGUCCCAGUUAGUGUGCUCUUUGCCUCUUCCUAGUAAAUUCGUUUUUCUUUUUCUCCUCUUUCCUUCUUCCCCUUCCUCUGUUUAUUUUAUUUAGUGCUUUCAGAUUUGUUUUUUCUUUAAACUGACACCACCGCCGCCUCAAUUCCUUGCAGUGCCACCAUCACCGACGAAACUCCCUCCACCGCCAUUGCUGCUGCUCCACCUCCACCAUCACGGCGACCGUCGCAUCCUACACCAACACAGUCGCAUAUCAACGAUUAUUAAUUAGAUUAUAAGUUUUUUUUUUUUUGUUUAAUUUUAU